RNAcentral lists this ribosomal RNA (5337 nucleotides) under Triticum aestivum (bread wheat). RNAcentral's name for it is "partial small subunit ribosomal RNA". The record is from RNAcentral. Lineage: Eukaryota; Viridiplantae; Streptophyta; Magnoliopsida; Poales; Poaceae.
AUGCAUCUCUACAACGCGUGGCUGCCCCCGGCGGUGGCGGAUGCCGCGCGGGGGGAGGCGGCGGCCUUCGCCGGCGCGGUGCGGGCGGCCAAGGACGCGUGGCGCCCCGACGACCCCGACUCGGCCUACGCCACGCUCAAGUGGAUCUCCGUGUUCGACCUUUUUAUCAAAGCAAAGAGUGACGUUGCUCCUGAGGACAUACAUGCUCUUGUAGAGCUUGGGUUUGGAAUAUUUCAUGCAUCGCAGAAUAAGUUUGUUGUCCAGAUAAAAUGGGGAGGUUUGCUCAUCAGGCUUUUCAAAAAGCAUGCGGAGAGACUUUCACUUGAUGUGCAAUGGAGGCCGCUUUACGAGACAUUGAUACAAACCCAUUUCAAGAGAAACAUGGGCCCUGAGGGCUGGAAAGUAAGGCAGCAACACUUCGAGACCAUCACCGGCUUAGUACAUGCCUCUAGGACUUUCUUUCCUGAAGGUGCAGCUGCUGAGAUUUGGUUGGAAUUCAGGCCGUUGCUGGAAAAUCCAUGGCAUAACUCAGCAUUUGAAGGUGUUGGAUUUGUUAGGCUGUUUCUUCCUGCAAACUCGAGGAACCAGGAUCACUUUACGACUGAUUGGAUUGCACAAUGUCUACACAUUUGGGACUCUGUCACAAAUUGUAACUUCUGGGAUAUCCAAUGGGCUGCCAUCAUAGCACGUUGCAUAAAAAAUUCCAGAUCCAUUGAAUGGGAGAAGUUUCUGCCGCUAUUGUUUACAAGAUACUUGAACAUGUUUGAGGUUCCUAUAUCCAGUGGGAAUGGGUCGUACCCUUUUCCAGUGGAGGUGCCUAGGAACACAAGAUUUUUGUUCUCAAGUAAGACCAGAUCACCUUCCAAGGCAAUUGCAAAGUCUGUUGUGUACCUUUUGAAGCCUAAAAGUCUGGCACUGGAACAAUUUGAGAAGCUCAUAAAUUUUCUAGAACAAUUCUAUCAUCCAUCAAAUGGGGGUCGCUGGACCUACUCAUUGGAGCGUUUUCUGCGGUAUCUUGUUUUUUACUUUGAAAGACGUCUUCAACAUGAACAAUUUGACACAAUGGAUGAGAAAAAUGAGCAGUUCUGUUUGGGAAAAGAAGAGAGAGCUGUUUUUAUCAAAGUAGUGCUGAAAUUACUGGAUCGUGGUCAGUACAGCAAGGAUGAUUCUCUUGCUGAAACAGUAUCCAUUGCAACUUCAAUCCUGUCUUAUGUCGAGCCAUCCUUGGUGCUUCCGUUUGUCGCAACGAACUUCCAACUAGCCUUGGAGACAACUACUGCCACCCACCAGUUAAAGAAUGCUGUCACAUCUGUCGCAUUUUCUGGACGGGCGCUUCUUCUAAGUUCUUUAUGCUCAACUCAAUCUGGUGAUAGUAGCAUGAUUGAUACACUCUAUGAUCUUAUUGUCACUUCCCUUUCAAAUGCAUUGCUUGGUAUGGAUGCCAACGAUCCACCUAAAACUGUAGCUACGAUGCAAUUAAUUGGCUCAAUAUUUUCAAAUCUGGCUACAGUUGGUGUUAGUGAUGAUGUGCCUGCUUUCCUCCAAACUUCCUCUCUAUCGGAUUGGCUACAUGAAUUCUUUUGUCGGCUGUUUUCUGUGCUUCAGAAUCUGGAAUCAAGUAGUGCCAUCGCGGAGGGUUACCAGACCUCAAUCAUGCCGGGAACUUUUCUCGUCGAGGACAGCCCUCACUAUUUUUGCAUGCUAGAAAUAGUUCUGGGAAAGUUAUCAAAAACCUUAUUUAAUCAGUCCCUUAAGAAAAUUGCCAAGUUCGUCAAUGCAAAUAUCCUUCCUGGUGCCACUUCAGAAGUUGGACUUCUUUGUUGUGCCUGUGUUCAUUCAUAUCCUGAGGAGGCUUCAGUCUACCUUGUAAAGCCUAUCUUAAUGACUAUCAUGUCCUCCUUCGAAGGUACCCCCACAACAGGUUAUGUUGGAAGAGAAGUUCCUAACAAUAUGUCUACUAAGGCUACACUUUCUCCUGCUCUAGAAACAGCAUUGGACUACUAUCUGAGGGUUUUGGCUAUAUCCAUCAGUUAUGCGGGUCCUGUCUUACUGAGCUAUAGAGAAGAAUUAAAGCACGUAAUAAUGUCUGCAUUCCAGGCCCCUUCAUGGAAGGUCAAUGGAGCUGGUGAUCAUCUCCUUCGCUCUGUGCUAGGAAGCCUGGUUUCAUUUUAUCCACUAGAUCAGUAUAAGCCAUUUUCUUGUCAGUCCAUUGCUAAUAUUAUUGAGCCAUGGGGUUGUUCAAAAGCUCAUCAGGACAGGGAGGUUGAAAUGCUUAAUUUUCCUCCGAAGUGGCAUGAUCCCAGUCAAGAUGAACUAUCUUUUGCAAACGAAUUGUUAGAAUUUCAUUUUCAGUCGGCUGUGGAAGAGCUUUUGACUAUUUGCCAGAUGGAAGUUCAGUCUGAGACAGGAGAUGAAAAGGAGCACCUAAAAAUAACGCUAUUGCGCAUUCAUUCUGCAUUGCAGGGUGUAAUGUCGUGCUUACCUGAACUGCGUCCAUCAUAUAAAGAUGGGAGGUCCAAGGUAGUAGAGCCCAGUUUCUUUAUUGCAGGAUCUUCUGGUAGCACCGUUGGCAGCUCAGAGAUGCGUGAAAAGGCUGCAGAACUUGUGCACAUAGCUUGCAGGUACUUAUUAAAGGAAAGAACUGAUGAUAGUAUUCUCCUAGCACUUGUAGUACGCGUGAUUGAUGCUUUGGUGAACUAUGGUAGCUUGGAAUAUGAUGAAUGGUCAAGUCAUGUUCAAGCUUGGAAAUUAGAGUCUGCUGCCAUCAUUGAGCCUCAAUGCAACUUUAUUGUUCCAUUCCAUGCUCAGGGCAAAAAGAGAUACCGGACAAAUGCCAAUGUAUCUCCGUCUAGCCUCAUGGUUAAUUUGGUGAAGGAUCUCCUAGAUCUCUCACUACACAACUAUGAAACUGUUCGCUCGUAUGCUGGAAGAUCGCUAACAAAAAUGCUGAAGCACUGGCCUUCUCUAAUUUCUGAUUGUGUUCUUACCCUGACUGAGAAUUUGCGUGAUUCGAAAGCCCUGGAACAUGUGGUGCUUGGUUCUUGCAGCAUUCUUGCAUCACAGACUGUUUUGAGACACUUGACAACUGAUUCUGCUUCCCUCUCUUCAUUUAUCAUGGGAAUUUUGGGAAGCUCUCAUCAUGAAUCGAUAAAGUGUCAGAAAGCUAUUACUGAGCUCUUUGUGAAAUACAACAUACGUUUCUCUGGAAUAUCAAGGUCUUUUUUCAAGAAUUCUCAAAGUCUGGCUGACAGGCCAGGAUUUCUUGGAUUAUUUUCUCAAAUUAAUGCUUUGGGCUUUGAGACUAACAGUCUACAUUGGAGGUACAACCUGAUGGCUAAUAGAGUACUUCUGUUGCUAAUUUUGGCAUCUAGAAGUGAGCCUGACAUUUAUUCACAAAUCCUGGCAGAGACUGCUGGUCAUUUCUUAAGAAAUUUGAAGAGUCAACUCCCCCACUCAAGGAUGCUUGCAAUAUCUGCUCUGAACACACUAUUAGAAGGAUCACCUCACAAGGCAUCUGUGGAAGAUUCACAACAAUCAUUAGAUCACCCUGAAGAAUGCAAUAUUUUGUCAACAGGAAGGCUUCUGAAUGACAUAAUCCAGGAGGAAGGAUUCAUGAAUGAUACACUAAACAGUCUCUCACAUGUACAUAUUAUUUCUGAUAGUGAUGGUUCAUCAAAAGCAAGUUAUGGUGCUUCAUCGUUUCAAAGCGGAUCUGAUAAAGCAAUCACUUACUUCUAUUUUGAUUUCUCUGCCUCGUGGCCAUGUACCCCUAGUUGGAUUUCUUUAGUGGGCGGUGGCACAUUCUAUUCCAGCUUUGCUAAGAUAUUCAAAAGGCUUAUACAACAAUGCGGAAUGCCAGUAAUGUCCUCACUUCAGACUGCACUAGAAGAAUUUCUGAGUUCAAAAGAAAGAUCAAGGCAAUGUGUGGCGGCUGAAGCUAUGGCGGGCAUGCUUCACUCUGAUGUCAGUGGGGAUUUGGAGUCUGGGAGUGACUGGUUGAUGCUUCAAUUGCAGAAGGUUGUGUUAGCUCCAUCUGUGGAAUCAGUUCCUGAAUGGGCAUCUUGCAUUAGAUAUGCUGUUACUGGCAAAGAAAGAUCUGGAACUCGUGCUCCUGUUCUCAGGCAAAAAGUAUUAGAUUGCUUAUGUACAGCAGUUCCUCAGUCUGUAGCAACUAGUGUACUUGCCAAGAGAUAUUCUUUUCUGUCUGUUGCUCUAAUUGAAAUUUCUCCACAUAAAAUGUCCCCAGCAGAGGAGCAGUACCACGUUACAAUUCUCAACGAACUGCUUGACAAUAUGAGUCACUCAUCUGCACAGGUAAGAGAGGCGAUUGGUGUUGCUAUGUGUGUCGCAUGCUCGAAUGUGAGAUUAGCUGGUGCACGUUCACCGGGAGUCCUGACAGAACAAACCGGAAAUGAAUAUUGGUCUAAGCGUUUGACAGAUGGAGUUACUGAGUUGUCUGUGAGUAUACAGAACAAUAGUCAAUCUAAGCAACUUGAAUUGGCAUCCGAUUCAUCCACUGUGAAUGGCUUGGACAAUAAAGAGGAGGCUGACGCUAAAAGAAUGGAAACGAUUUUCCAUUUCAUGAUUGCAUCUCUGAAGUCUGGGAGAUCUUCCGUUCUACUAGAUGUUAUUAUUGCACUCUUCUACCCUGUUCUAUCAUUACAGGAAACAUCAAAUAAAGAUUUGUCAUUGCUUGCAAAGUCAGCUUUUGAAUUGCUUAAAUGGCGGACUUUGCCGCGCCCUUUUCUUGAAACAGCUAUUAUGGCUAUCCUUUCUUCAGUCAGUGAUCCCAACUGGCGAACCAGAUCAGCGUUGUUAUCAUAUCUCAGGACCUUUACAUACAGGCACACAUUCAUUCUUUCUGGCUCAGAGAAAUCACAAAUUUGGCAAACAAUCGAGAAGUUACUUGUGGAUAACCAAGUUGAGGUCAGGGAGCAUGCUGCUGGUGUUCUUGCAAGCUUAAUGAAGGGUAUAGAUAAAGAUCUAUCGAAGGAUUUCCGUGAUAGAUCAUAUGCACAAGCCCAACGUAUCCUUGAUACGAGAAGAAGAACUCCAAAGUCCGGCCAUUCUGUUGCUACCAUACAUGGUGCAGUACUUGCUCUGACGGCUUCGGUGCUUUCUGUCCCAUACGACAUGCCAAGCUGGCUUCCUGGUCAUGUAACACUACUGGCCCACUUCAUCCGCGAGCCGUCUCCUGUGAAAUCUACUGUGACAAAGGCUGUUGCUGAGUUUAAGAGGACACACGCCGACACUUGGAGCAUCCAGAAGGAUGCCUUCACAGAAGACGAACUGGAGGUCCUCCGGGAUACAUCGUCCUCGUCAUCGUACUUUGCUUAG